AUGGAUCCCUUCGUUUCUGACCCCACCGAUCCUGUGACAACCAGCCCCAAAACGCAGGGACAAGAGGAAGAGGGCCUUGGAGCCGACCCCUCCUUCAAUUCCCUUACCACUGAGUCCGUCGUCGCGAGCCCCGACGCGGAGGGCGGCGCCGCCGCCACACAGGCGGACGAUGAGGCGGAGAGUGGGGCGCCCGGCUCCCCUUCCCCGCCCCGACCGCCGCCUAGCAUCUCCGGGCGCCGCGAUCCUCUCAGGGCCGCGUGCUUCCGGAGGCUGGCUGCCUCCUGCGAAGCCCGCCGACUCCGCGAGGCGGAGCUCCUCCGUGCGUCUAAACCGCCCGCGGAGAAGGCCGAGGACCCCGAGGAGCCAAUCUGGCCACCAAAAAGCCGCCAUUGGUGGCGCUUCGUGUAUGUAUACCUCGCCUUCCACCCCCUUUUGCUCAUGAAUGCAUGA
RNAcentral lists this ribosomal RNA (450 nucleotides) under Triticum aestivum (bread wheat). Its description in RNAcentral is "partial small subunit ribosomal RNA". Lineage: Eukaryota; Viridiplantae; Streptophyta; Magnoliopsida; Poales; Poaceae. The record is from RNAcentral.